UCUUAAAUGUAAACUAGCAAGAACGUUGCUUACCAGAGCACUAUGAAUAGUUUAUUUAAAACUCAAAGAACUUGGCGGUGCUCCACACUUCUCAGGGGAACCUGUUUCGUAAUCGACAGUCCACGUUGAACCUUUCCCGCUUUUGACCUUUUCAGUAUGUAUACCGUCGUCGUCAGGUAACUUCCAAAAAAUUAGUUGUUAGCAACAAAGAUAAUAUAAGCUUCUACGUCAGAUCAAGGUGCAGCCAAUAAGUAGGAGAGAAUGGGUUACAAUUAUAAGUUAUAAUUAUGAAUCAAAGAGUGAAAAACCUUUGUGAAGGAGGACUUGAAAGUAAAGACAUCCAAUGAAAAUUUUUUGAAUUUUAGCUCUGGAGCGUGC
RNAcentral lists this ribosomal RNA (378 nucleotides) under Modulus modulus. RNAcentral's name for it is "partial small subunit ribosomal RNA". It matches the Rfam family "Bacterial small subunit ribosomal RNA", at positions 875 to 1384 of the family's 1533-position model. The record is from RNAcentral. Lineage: Eukaryota; Metazoa; Mollusca; Gastropoda; Modulidae.